UACAGAGGUCCCAAGCGUUGUUCGGAUUCACUGGGCGUAAAGGGUGCGUAGGUGGUCGGAUAAGUCUGAUGUGAAAUCUCCAAGCUUAACUUGGAAAUGGCAUUGGAUACUAUUCGGCUAGAGGGUUUGAGGGGGGACUGGAAUACUUGGUGUAGCAGUGAAAUGCGUAGAUAUCGAGAGGAACACCAGUGGCGAAGGCGAGUCCCUGGACAACUCCUGACACUGAGGCACGAAAGCUAGGGGAGCAAACAGG
RNAcentral lists this ribosomal RNA (253 nucleotides) under uncultured bacterium. Its description in RNAcentral is "partial 16S ribosomal RNA". It matches the Rfam family "Bacterial small subunit ribosomal RNA", at positions 524 to 776 of the family's 1533-position model. The record is from RNAcentral.